Myotis myotis is the source of this 407-nucleotide long non-coding RNA. RefSeq lists it as uncharacterized. NCBI's taxonomy places the organism in Eukaryota, Metazoa, Chordata, Mammalia, Chiroptera, Vespertilionidae. The transcript has 4 exons. The record is from RefSeq and is a predicted model, not a curated record.
GCGCCCCGGCUCGGACAGCACGACCCGCCGUCCGCCCACGGGUCGGAGCUGCUCCCGCUGAGCGCCCCAGCCUCCGGCUCUGCGCGGUGGGGCGGCUUUUUCGGUUUGCAGAGAGAGGUGAAAUAAGAGGCAGAACCUCGGUGAGAACUGAGGGCAGACAGACAGAAAUAGAGAUGCAAUGGCUGGAGCUUCAGUAGCCACUUUGACCUGUAAUGUCAUCAAAAUGAUGGAGCAGAUAAAACCUCAACUGGAGAAAAGCCGAUUUAAUUAGAGGAGGCGAGACAUCGGUGAAGAUGCUGAUGACAAUGUCUGGACACUUUCAAGAGCUUCACAAGUUGUGCUGACUGUAGAGACUAAAUCAACAGACUGCUUCCACCGGGUUUAGCUGUGGAGGGCACCUUGAUUGA